UUUUAAAAAAGAAAAAGAUUUUAUUUUCCCGAAAUAAUUUGAGCUAAAAUUGUAAAUUAAUUUGUAUUUCAAUACAAAUAAAAUUCAAUUUUAGAUGUGAAAUUCUUUUCAAAAAUUAUGAUACCUGGUUAAUAAUAAAAUUACUAUAAGUAUUUCUAUAAAUGUUAUUAAUAUAAAAAUUUAUAGAAAAUUAAUUUUGGGAUAAGCUAAAAUUAUAAAUUUAAAACUUAAAGGCAAUAAACAGAAAGAUUAAAAUUUUCUUUUUUAUUUUCAUAAAUACGUUUUAAUUAAGGUUUAAAAUAUUUUAAAUAUUUAAUAAAUUUAAUUUAAAAUUUAAAUAAAAAUGAAAAUAUUAGUAAAAGUUUAAUUAAAUUAAUAAUUUAAAAUUAAAAUCUAUAAUAGAAAAAUAAUUUUUAAGAAUUCAGCAAAAAAUUUUUUUAACUGUUUAAUAAAAACAUUUCAUUUAGUAAAAUUUAUUAAAUGUAAUUUCUGCUCAAUGAGAAUUUUAAUUGCUGUAGUAUUUUGACUAUACAAAGGUAUUGUAAUAAGAUUUUAAUUGAAUGCUAAAAGAAUGGAAAUUUAAAAAAAAACUUUUUUAAAAAUAAAAAUUGAAUUUUUUUUAAUUUGUGCAAAAACAAUUAUUAUUAUUAAAGACAAGAAGACCCUAAGAAUUUAUGAUUUUGCAAUUAGAAUUUUUUUCAAAAAAUCUUGAUUGGGGCGAUCAAAAAAUAUUAAUAACUUUUUAAAUUUAAAUUGAUCUAUUAUUAAUAAACUAAUGAAUUAAAUACUCUAGGGAUAACAGCGUAAUAAUUUUUGAUAGAUCUUAUUGACAAAAUAGUUUGCGACCUCGAUGUUGGAUUAGGAUCCUUUUUUAAUGAAGAAGUUAAAAAAAGAAGUUUGUUCAACUUUUAAAUUCCUACAUGAUCUGAGUUUAGACCGAUGAGAAUCAGGUUGGAUUCUAUCUUAAUAAAAAAAUUUUUUUAGUUAGUACGAAAGGAAUUCUAAAAUUUAAUUAUUAAGAUGAACAACUUUAUUUGCAUCAAUUUUUGUAAUUUAUUAAAGUGGCAGAAAAUAAUGCAAGGAAUUUAAGCUUCCUUUAUGAACUUAUUCCUUUAAUAAUUUUAAAUUUUAUUUAUAUAAGAAUUUUGUUAAUUAUAAUUUUAUUAAGUAUUGCUUUUUUUACUUUAAUAGAACGAAAAUUUUUAGGUUAUUGUCA
Molecule: ribosomal RNA, 1216 nt
Filed under: Hyalomma anatolicum
Lineage: Eukaryota; Metazoa; Arthropoda; Arachnida; Ixodida; Ixodidae
Description: partial large subunit ribosomal RNA
Source: RNAcentral